CCUUUUUGUCGAAGGCUAUGUAAUGCCCAUUCGGUUAUGGACGCGGGUCAUGUCAUGUUAUUUAGCAUUUUGAGAAUCUUAAGAAUUUAUGUUUGUUUGUGUCAUUGGUAUAUGUUAACCAUUUUAGACAUUGAGAAACUGCACCCAAUAAUCCAAAAAACUAAAAUUAACAAACUAACUAAAAUCUCAGUCCCUCUUUUUUUCUUUUCUUUUUCUAUCUCUUUUAAAACUAUUUUUAUUUGUUAUUUC
RNAcentral lists this long non-coding RNA (249 nucleotides) under Brassica rapa (field mustard). Its description in RNAcentral is "long non-coding RNA (BRAP_LNC003049)". The record is from RNAcentral. Lineage: Eukaryota; Viridiplantae; Streptophyta; Magnoliopsida; Brassicales; Brassicaceae.